AGGACGAACGCUGGCGGCGUGCUUAACACAUGCAAGUCGAACGGUAAGGCCCCUUCGGGGGUACACGAGUGGCGAACGGGUGAGUAACACGUGGGUAAUCUGCCCUGCACUUCGGGAUAAGCCUGGGAAACUGGGUCUAAUACCGGAUAUGAACUCCUGCCGCAUGGUGGGGGUUGGAAAGUUUUUCGGUGCAGGAUGAGCCCGCGGCCUAUCAGCUUGUUGGUGGGGUAAUGGCCUACCAAGGCGACGACGGGUAGCCGGCCUGAGAGGGUGAUCGGCCACACUGGGACUGAGACACGGCCCAGACUCCUACGGGAGGCAGCAGUGGGGAAUAUGCACAAUGGGCGAAAGCCUGAUGCAGCGACGCCGCGUGGGGGAUGACGGUCUUCGGAUUGUAAACCCCUUUCAGUAGGGACGAAGCGCAAGUGACGGUACCUGCAGAGAAGCACGGCUAACUACGUACCAGCAGCCGC
RNAcentral lists this ribosomal RNA (473 nucleotides) under uncultured soil bacterium. RNAcentral's name for it is "bacterial SSU rRNA". It matches the Rfam family "Bacterial small subunit ribosomal RNA", at positions 26 to 518 of the family's 1533-position model. The record is from RNAcentral.